This 254-nucleotide ribosomal RNA is filed under the name uncultured bacterium. Its description in RNAcentral is "partial 16S ribosomal RNA". It matches the Rfam family "Bacterial small subunit ribosomal RNA", at positions 524 to 776 of the family's 1533-position model. The record is from RNAcentral.
CACGUAGGGGGCAAGCGUUGUCCGGAUUUAUUGGGCGUAAAGAGCUCGUAGGCGGUUUCGUAAGUCGGGUGUGAAAACUUCAGGCUCAACCUGGAGACGCCACCCGAUACUGCGAUGACUAGAGUCCGGUAGGGGAGUGUGGAAUUCCUGGUGUAGCGGUGAAAUGCGCAGAUAUCAGGAGGAACACCAACGGCGAAGGCAGCACUCUGGGCCGGAACUGACGCUGAGGAGCGAAAGCGUGGGUAGCGAACAGG